This 425-nucleotide long non-coding RNA is filed under the name Androctonus crassicauda. Lineage: Eukaryota; Metazoa; Arthropoda; Arachnida; Scorpiones; Buthidae. The record is from RNAcentral.
UCAAUAGGAAAAAAAUGACAACUAUUCCAAUCUUCAAAGCUUUUUUACUUAGACAUUUUCAUCUUAAUUCAAAGAUGUUCUUGAAAUAUCUGCAAACAAAUCACAUUAUUAUAAAAGAAUUCAUAUAUCAGAAUCUUCUCUCUAGCCUGGCCUUUGAGUUUGGAUUCCAUGCCUUGGAAAAUUUUCUUAAUAGAUCUGGCUUGUGUGUGUCCAUCUACUGUAAAGUUUUGCUGACUCUACUGCAGAUUGAGCAAUUAGGCCUAAUAAUCAAUCAAGUUAAAUAAUUGAAAAGUGACGUUAAAAUAUAAUUGCUGAUUUAUUUUAGAAACAUGGAUAUAUACAAAUAUAAUUUAUGCAUGUAAUAAGACUACUUCAUCCAUUGGUUUUCUAGAUCAAACAAUUAAAACCUCAAAAAAUCAGCACCC